Molecule: ribosomal RNA, 2045 nt
Filed under: Macbrideola oblonga
Lineage: Eukaryota; Evosea; Eumycetozoa; Stemonitida; Stemonitidae
Description: SSU rRNA
Rfam family: Eukaryotic small subunit ribosomal RNA
Source: RNAcentral
UUUUCCUAAAGAUUAAGCCAUGCAUGUCUUCGAAUAAGAGGAAGCAAUUCUCUCUGAAUCUGCGAACGGCUCCGCAAACCAGUUGUAAACCAUAGCAGGGUACCCUGGGCGUCUGCUGCUUCACGGCGGUGGGCGCCCAUACAUUAUAUGGAUAACCGUGGUAAUUCUGAGGCUAAUACAUGACAAACACACCCGUGUCCCGGCCUAAAAAACUGGGGCGCGGGGAAUGUGCGCGACUAAGCUACGUUUGGCUAAGGCGACCCUGGCGAGCAUGAAUGAGCGCACGUUCAGACCACCGAUUUGCGUGGGUGUCGUCCUGCGUCCUGUCCUGGGCAACCGGGGUGGGGCAACGGGCGGCGUCCUGGUGGCCCCUGCAACGGGCUUCUGACCUAUCAACUAGACGGCAGCGUAAGGGACAUGCUAUGGUGACAACGGGUACAGAGGAUUAGGGUUCGAUCCUGGAGAGUGGGCCUGAGAGAUUGCUCAUACUUCUAAGGAAGGCAGCAGGCGCGCAACGUUCCCCUUGGGCAUCGCUCGAGGGCGUUAGGGGAAAUAUGAAUGGCUGCCUCUAAGGUGGCCAAUUCAAAUGGGUUUGUUGUAAACAGGCUCUCGAGUAACAAUUAGAGGACAAGUCUGGUGCCAGCACCCGCGGUAAUUCCAGCUCUAAUAGCAUACGUUAAAGUUGUUGCGGUUAAAACGCUCGUAGUCGGCCUCAGACCACCAGAAGCCUGCCUUGGACCCCUGGGUCUGUGCCUUCCCUCCCUUCACGGGGAGGCUGAGGGCGCGCUGGGGGAUUAGGGCGGGUGGGCGGCGGUCAAUCGUGCUCACAAUGGCGUUCCUUCCCUUCCGGGGGUCGGAUUACAGGGCCUCCCACGCCCCGCGUGCCUAGCACCCAGGCUUCGGCUUGGGAUGGCGUGCGCGACACGGGGAUCAAGGCCCGGCCGUGGGCACCAUUUACCAUGAUCAAACCGGCGUGAUCAAAGCAGGCCGUUACGGUCCCUGCACGGCAUAGCAUGGCAUAAGGCGCGCUUCUUCCGUUCUAAGCCUGGCUGGGCGGGAGGGGUGAGCCGCGAAAGGGGUGUUCGGGGGCAGCCGAAUUGCCGGGCGAGUGGUGAAAUACGUUGACCCUAGCAAGUCGACCGAAAGCGAAAGCAGCUGUCAAGGGCACACCCGUUGAUCAAGAGCGAAAGUUAAGGGUUCGAAGACGAUCAGAUACCGUCGUAGUCUUAACUAUAAAUGAUACUGGCCAGGGAUAGGGCAAUGUCCAUCUCGACUCCCCCCGGACCUUACGGGAAACUCUAAGCCUAUGAGUUCUGGGGGGAGUAUGGUCGCAAGGCUGAAACUUAAAGGAAUUGACGGAAAGGCACACAAAGAGUGGAACCUGCGGCUUUAAUUUGACUCAACACGGGAAAACUCACCGGGUCCGGAUACAUGCAUGAAAGACAAGCUGACAGACUUUUCUCAAUUAUGUAAGUGGUGGUGCAUGGCCGUUCUUAGUUCGUGGAGUGGUUUGUCUGGUCUAUUCCGAUAACGAGCGAGACCCCAGCGUUCUAACUAGGGGCCGCAGCCCGGCUUGGACCUGCCCUUCACGGGGUGGGACCUUGCUAGCAGCGGCUUCGCAGAAACGGAUUUUUUGUGAUUAGCUUCUUAGACGGAUCAGGGCCGAUAAGGUCUUUGAAAUGGGUUAAUAACAGGUCAGUCAUGCCCUUAGAUGUUCCGGGCCGCACGCGCGUUACAAUGGGAGGCAAAAUGAGUUCUCGUUUCGUAGCUUCCCCGUGUCCGACAGGACACGGUAAACCCUAAGUUCUCCCUUGACUGGGCUAGACUCUUGCAAUUAUUGGUCUUCAACGAGGAAUUUUUAGUAGUCGUGGGUCAUUAACCCGCGACGAAUGCGUCCCUGCCUUUUGUACACACCGCCCGUCGCUGCUACCGAUUGGGUACAGCGGUUACGCGUUCGGAGGCCGGGUUGACAGCGCCUUUCGGGGUGUGGGAUGCCCGGCCGAAGUUCUAAUUGCCGUCGGCCUAGAGGAAGCAGAAGUCGAACA